Molecule: ribosomal RNA, 584 nt
Filed under: uncultured bacterium
Lineage: Bacteria
Description: partial 16S ribosomal RNA
Rfam family: Bacterial small subunit ribosomal RNA
Source: RNAcentral
UGGGGAAUUUUAGACAAUGGGCGAAAGCCUGAUCCAGCAAUGCCGCGUGUGUGAAGAAGGCCUUCGGGUUGUAAAGCACUUUUGUCCGGAAAGAAAUCCUUGGCUCUAAUACAGUCGGGGGAUGACGGUACCGGAAGAAUAAGCACCGGCUAACUACGUGCCAGCAGCCGCGGUAAUACGUAGGGUGCAAGCGUUAAUCGGAAUUACUGGGCGUAAAGCGUGCGCAGGCGGUUUGCUAAGACCGAUGUGAAAUCCCCGGGCUCAACCUGGGAACUGCAUUGGUGACUGGCAGGCUAGAGUAUGGCAGAGGGGGGUAGAAUUCCACGUGUAGCAGUGAAAUGCGUAGAGAUGUGGAGGAAUACCGAUGGCGAAGGCAGCCCCCUGGGCCAAUACUGACGCUCAUGCACGAAAGCGUGGGGAGCAAAACAGGAUUAGAUACCCUGGUAGUCCACGCCCUAAAACGAUGUCAACUAGUUGUUGGGGAUUCAUUUCCUUAGUAACGUAGCUAACGCGUGAAGUUGACCGCCUGGGGAGUACGGUCGCAAGAUUAAAACUCAAAUGAAUUGACGGGGUCAUAGCUGUUU